RNAcentral lists this non-coding RNA (30 nucleotides) under Cricetulus griseus (Chinese hamster). The record is from RNAcentral. Lineage: Eukaryota; Metazoa; Chordata; Mammalia; Rodentia; Cricetidae.
CAAAAAUGAAGAUUAAAUCUUCUUAGGACA